AACGAACGCGGGCGGCAGGCCGAACACAUGCAAGUCGAACGAGACCUUCGGGUCUAGUGGCGCACGGGUGCGUAACGCGUGGGAACCUGCCCUUAGGUUCGGAAUAACUCCCCGAAAGGGGUGCUAAUACCGGAUAAUGUCUUCGGACCAAAGAUUUAUCGCCUUUGGAUGGGCCCGCGUUGGAUUAGCUAGUUGGUAGGGUAAAAGCCUACCAAGGCGACGAUCCAUAGCUGGUCUGAGAGGAUGAUCAGCCACACUGGGACUGAGACACGGCCCAGACUCCUACGGGAGGCAGCAGUGGGGAAUAUUGGACAAUGGGCGAAAGCCUGAUCCAGCAAUGCCGCGUGAGUGAUGAAGGCCUUAGGGUUGUAAAGCUCUUUUACCCGGGAUGAUAAUGACAGUACCGGGAGAAUAAGCUCCGGCUCCCUCCGUU
RNAcentral lists this ribosomal RNA (433 nucleotides) under uncultured bacterium. RNAcentral's name for it is "partial 16S ribosomal RNA". It matches the Rfam family "Bacterial small subunit ribosomal RNA", at positions 29 to 507 of the family's 1533-position model. The record is from RNAcentral.